GUGGUGAAUAUUGGACAAUGGGCGAAAGCCUGAUCCAGCCAUGCCGCGUGUGUGAAGAAGGUCUUCGGAUUGUAAAGCACUUUAAGUUGGGAGGAAGGGCAGUAAGCUAAUACCUUGCUGUUUUGACGUUACCGACAGAAUAAGCACCGGCUAACUUCGUGCCAGCAGCCGCGGUAAUACGAAGGGUGCAAGCGUUAAUCGGAAUUACUGGGCGUAAAGCGCGCGUAGGUGGUUCGUUAAGUUGGAUGUGAAAGCCCCGGGCUCAACCUGGGAACUGCAUCCAAAACUGGCGAGCUAGAGUACGGUAGAGGGUGGUGGAAUUUCCUGUGUAGCGGUGAAAUGCGUAGAUAUAGGAAGGAACACCAGUGGCGAAGGCGACCACCUGGACUGAUACUGACACUGAGGUGCGAAAGCGUGGGGAGCAAACAGGAUUAGAAACCCUGAGUAGUCC
RNAcentral lists this ribosomal RNA (451 nucleotides) under uncultured bacterium. RNAcentral's name for it is "partial 16S ribosomal RNA". It matches the Rfam family "Bacterial small subunit ribosomal RNA", at positions 354 to 796 of the family's 1533-position model. The record is from RNAcentral.